RNAcentral lists this ribosomal RNA (403 nucleotides) under uncultured Eubacteriales bacterium. RNAcentral describes it as "bacterial SSU rRNA". It matches the Rfam family "Bacterial small subunit ribosomal RNA", at positions 355 to 776 of the family's 1533-position model. The record is from RNAcentral. Lineage: Bacteria; Bacillati; Bacillota; Clostridia; Eubacteriales.
UCGGGAAUAUUGCACAAUGGAGGAAACUCUGAUGCAGUGACACCGCGUAUAGGAAGAAGGCCUUAGGGUUGUAAGCUAUUGUCGUGUGAGAAGAAAAUGACUAUCACAGGAGGAAGCCCUGGCUAAAUAUGUGCCAGCAGCCGCGGUAAUACAUAUGGGGCGAGCGUUAUCCGGAUUUAUUGGGUGUAAAGGGUUCGUAGGCGGGAAAGUAAGUCAGUAUGUGAAAUCCCUCGGCUCAACCGAGGAACUGCAAUUGAAACUAUUUUUCUUGAGUACUGGAGGGGAAAGUGGAAUUCUUAGUGUAGCGGUGAAAUGCGUAGAUAUUAGGAAGAACACCAGUGGCGAAGGCGACUUUCUGGACAGUAACUGACGCUGAGGAACGAAAGUGUGGGGAGCAAACAGG